GGGUUGCUCAGAAAAGCACUUUCUUUUCUUCUGACAAUUAGGAAGAAUGUAAAAACUUAUCUUCUUGGAUCUGGAUUGCAAUAUGUGUCAGCUCAUGGCUUCAUUCAGGAAAACGAUUGCAGGGGAAUUCUGAUGUCAAGAUGAUGGUAACCACACAAACAUAACUACUGACAGAACUUGAGAAAAGCAUGACUGAAGCUAGCACAUGCCUAUUUAAUGGUCAGUUUCAAGAAAACCAUUGAGGAACAAUCCUUUACUCAUCAUUUGUUGGAUAUCUCUUGUGAAUGCAGUUGGGAGUACCUUCAUCCAUAUUAAUGAAUUUACCGUGAAAAAAAGAGAUGAAUAUUCACUCUCCUAAGCACUAUAKUUAGAUAUAUUUAUUAUAUAUUA
Long non-coding RNA from Nothoprocta perdicaria, 390 nucleotides. RefSeq lists it as uncharacterized. Lineage: Eukaryota; Metazoa; Chordata; Aves; Tinamiformes; Tinamidae. The record is from RefSeq and is a predicted model, not a curated record. The transcript has 4 exons.